Molecule: long non-coding RNA, 1413 nt
Filed under: Mus musculus (house mouse)
Lineage: Eukaryota; Metazoa; Chordata; Mammalia; Rodentia; Muridae
Description: predicted gene, 39526
Source: RNAcentral
ACACAUAUAAGAGCCAGUAAAUGUUUAAUAGUCAAUAAAAUGAUAUUUUUUAAAAAGUUAAUUUUAAUAGGCCUGUACAGAUGUGCAUGGAAAAACUGAAAAAAAACCCAGAACAUUUAUAGCAAUUACAAUGAAGUAUGAAACCAUGAGUGGCGUCACUGAGAAGGCAAGUAUAUUAAAAAUAUUGUUUGAGGUUUCACUGGCAUAGGAAGAGAGAAUAUUAUAUAGAUGUUAUAGAACAACUGACAAGAGGAACUGGUAAUGGUAACUUGGGUUUCUUUGGAAUUGUAAUAGAAAGAGAGGAGCUAGGGAAAGACCAUAUAGGUUUGGUGUAGUUAAUUAAAUGACAAGUGAUGACACAAUUAUUUAUAAGCUGUCAAUAUUGUGGUUUAUUCAGAUUCUGUAUGACAGCAGAAGGCCACUUCCUCUUUCUUGGUUCCCUCUUGCAGCCUCUGAAGUACCUACACAGUUAUAGUUAUUUUCCCUUGAAAUACUAGAGGUAUUUUCAUAUUGUUUUUAAAGAUCUGAUCUGGAACUGACUAGUAUGGUAGUGAUUAGACUUAAGGACUAUAUAAGUGUUUAAAUUGUGGUUAGUACAAGUGAGAAUUAAAUUAUCAAUUUAUAUUUAAGUUUUAAUUUUAAAACUAUGACAGUGUAAAAUAUUGGUUUUCUGUUAUGACCAAUGGUAGGAUUAUAUUUCACAUUGGCCAUAGGAAAUAUUUUCUUUAGUUCAUUUUUCUAAAAAUUUAGUCAUGGAAAAUUUGAUAUCUAAAUUGAGAUAUAUUAUGAAUGUUAAAAACAGACUUUAAAUGUAUAGUAUAAAAACUUAAUACUUUUGAAAUGGCAACUUAAGGGUUCAUUGGAAAGUCAGUUAGAUGAUGUUUUGCUGGGGCAAACACAUGAAGGAACAUUUAGCUGAAGUGGACACAGGUGAAAGGCUAAGGCAGACUCCUGAGGGAACAUUUAACUGAAGCAGACACAGGAGAAUGUUCUGCUAAAGCAAGCCUGUGAAAGGACAUGUGAUGGAGGAUUCUUUGCUAACAACAUGCAUGUAUUGGUCUGCUUUACAUUUCGUAGUUGAGCUGCAUUUGUCGGGCCUCCAUAGAGAGGAACAAACCAAAAAAUUUCUGGUGAUGUGCUACAGUUUCUUGCUGCUUCCACGGAUUAGGGCCCAUUGGCAGAGUGAUGUCAGCUGAGACAGAUGCGUGUGCUGAGGUAAGGUGAAUGCUGAGAAGGCAGAUGUAAUUGUUAAAGAGAUGAAUGCCAUGAAAGAGAAAUCUGGUACCUUCCCUUGGAACAGCAGCCACAUGGUCUAAGAGUAAGGCCUCACCUAGCAGACCAGCCUUUUCUUUUAUUUCUUUUUUUAAGCUAGUGUCUUGUUUUGCUGAAACAAAAAUAAACUGUCUUGCUUUC